This 3777-nucleotide long non-coding RNA is filed under the name Gossypium barbadense (sea-island cotton). RNAcentral describes it as "long non-coding RNA (GBAR_LNC014608)". The record is from RNAcentral. Lineage: Eukaryota; Viridiplantae; Streptophyta; Magnoliopsida; Malvales; Malvaceae.
UUAAAAUGUUUUCAUUUGUAAUCUUCAUGAAAAAACCAAUAAAAGAAAGUGUCAUUUUCUCUAUUCAUUCAUUAUUUUUUCAUGUGUCUGUCACUUUUUUAGAUACAUAUCUCUUUUAUUUUGAUUAUUUUCUUUUCUUUUUUGUUUCAGUUUUUCCAGGCCUUUGACUUCCUUUGGGCCUUUAUCGUUUUUGGGUCAUUAUUUUAGUCCGCUUGGUUUCAUGUGUUUUUGCAUUUUUAAUAAUAGCCUAGUACUUUUCUUUAAAAAAAAAACCUAAACCAACCCGGGAUAUCCUUAGAAUGGGAUAUCCCUGAACCGGAUAUGCCUGGAAAAAGACAUCCCAGACCGGCAUAUCCCAAGAAUAGGAUAUCCUUUAAAUAAUAGCGACAGGUUGUCCGGUCCAUACAUACAAAAAAUCUGAACCGGCCACUAAAACAACUGAACCGGACUACAAAAACACUGAACCGAAACGGGAUAUGAAGGGGAUAUCCCCGGAAUAGCUUAAUCAAUCUUGAAAUAUUCCUCGGUUAUCCCUCCAACAGAAAAAAGUAGAAAGUUAAAUAUGUACACAAUAUAUUCUAACUGGUGUCUUCUUAUAUAUGCAUUACGUAAAUUGCUGCAAAACAAUUAAUUAAAAUACAUCCAAUAAUAUUUUUAUAAAUGUUAAAUAGAAUCGGUCCUGAUUUAUCAGUUAAUAUGAAGUACAUGAAUAACUUUUCAGUUAUUGUAAACUUCAUUGAAAAAACAAUAAUUAAAAGAAAUGUUUUCUUAUUAUUUGGUCAUGUAUCUGUUAUUUUUUUUACACUUCUUUUUUUAAAUUCAGGCACCAUUAGAAAUAGAAAAUCCUCCAUAUUUGAAUGUAUUAUAUUUUUUGAGGGAAAAAGAAAACAUUAUUUCAAAUAUACAGAACAGAAAAAAUCCAACGAAUGAUAAUCAAAAAAAUAAAAAGCCGAACUGGGAUAUUCCGAGAGUAGGAUACACCCAAUCCGGGAUAAACCUGAAUGGGAUACCACAAAGCCGAGAUAUCACUAGAAUAGGAUAUCCCUGAGAGAAAUAAGUAUGACAGGUAGCCCGGUCCAAACAAGAAAAAAAUCUGAACCGGCCACUAAAACACUUAAACCGGAAGCAAAAAAUUGUGAACCGGAAGAAGAAAAUGCAGGAUAUCCGAGGAAUAACUUAAUCUAAGAAGGAAUAGUAGCGGAAUAUGACAGGGAUAAAUCCGGAGAGGAAUAGGACAGAAAAUUAACUAUAGCAGGAUAUCCUAAGAAUAGCUUAAUCUGAGAAGGAAUAGUCUCGGAAUAUGACAGGAAUAAAUCCGGAGAGGAAUAGGAUAGAAAAUUAACAACAGCAGGACAGUUAAAAAUCUGUACCGGAUAGAAGAUUCAUUACGACAAAACAGAAUAAUCCAAAGCAUGAAGUCCAAAUAAAAUUAGAUUGAUGGCAACGGUACCAUUUAUGGUAAUUAAAACAUUACUACUGUUUUAGAAGGAAAAAAACGUUAGGAAAAGGUAAGGGGAAAUCAGAGAGAAGAAAGUGGAACUUUAAACCUUGUCUUACAAUAGUGUUAAAAAUGAUUUUGAAAUCACUAAUUUUCCACAUAAAAUACGCUUACGCGUGGUUACCCGGAAAAUGAGGGAAAAUUAAUUUCAAAUUUGAAACCUUAAUUUCUUCAAAAAUCAAAUGAAAGCAGUGAAACAAGACAAUUCGAAGCUUCUAUCAAGGGAUCAACUAAAAGACAUGUACUUUUUCAACAUUUCAGUAAGAGAACAAAAUUUUCGAAAUAAAGAACAAUUAAGUAUACUGUUUGGCUUCCGAAGACUAACGUCAAGUUUAAAACAAAUUUCCCUCAAUUUUCUUCAAUCAGAAACCAAACAGAAUAAUAAGAUGGUGAAGAAAAAUUAAGAUUUUUUAAAAGAAUCAAAAUUUAUACCUAAAAUGAUAGAAUAGCACUACCUCGACUCUUUCAUUGGGAAGAAGCUUCCACUGAUUCAUGAAUUCAAUCCUUUUCUUUUCCUUUUUAGCAUAACAAUAUUAUAAUAUUUUAUUUUAUUUUAUUUUUACCGGCAAGAUAAAAUAUUUAGAGGGGUCGGGUCAAUUAGUUUUAUAUAUAUUUAAUAGAUAAUAAAACCUAGACAUUGGUAAAAAACUAUUAUCGUUAAAAAAACGAAAUCCCUGAAAAAGACGCAAUGAAAAUAUUAGUAAAAAUAAGCAUAUAUCUGCAACUAAAAACAGAGAUAAUGAGGAAAGAGAUAGUUUAAUUAUAUUCAUACCUGAAAUCAAUCUCCGAUGAUGUAGGGGGUUUCAAGAAUUAGAAAAAGAAAAGAAACAGCAAAAAAAAUAAAACAAAAAACGGAAUUUAGUUACCCGAAGCUAAAAAAAUUUGAGGAAAAAAUUGAAAGGGUAUUGAGAGAGAGAUAGAGACGGCGUAUGAAUGGGAGAGCUAUAGAUUGAGGAAACACAGGAAAAGAGGCUGAGAAAAGAAAAAACAAGAGAGAAGGAAAAUAUUUGUAAAGAAGGUAAAAAAAAGUAGAUAAAAUGGGAGAAAGGAACGUUAGAAAUAUAGGAAAAAUAGGACAGAAUAUGGGAAUAAGGUGGUCAUUUACUGCCAACUGGUAAGUUUCACUUAUUGUAAUAUUUAUGAAAAAAACAAAAAGAGAAAAUUCCCAGUACAAUUUUAGAUUUUUUGAUUCCCAUUUAAGUAAUUGACAGACUUUUUUUAUUGUUGAUUUCUAAACCUGAAAACCAAAUGCCAUAAAAUAAACCAAGAAAUACCAGUACAAUAACAUAGUUCUUAAAUUAAAAGAGAAACAGAAAAGACAAUGUUGAAGCAAAGAUUCAUACCUGACGCAAGGGAAUCCAAAAAUCCCAAAAACAGAAACGGCAGAGAAAAUCACAGUAUAGUGUGUCUUUGAAUUCUUUCGGGAUAUAAGAGGUAAAAUUUGAAAUGAGACAGACAUAAUAAAGGAGAGAAUAAAAGGGGAAGAAAUGCUAGAAAAAAAAGGAAAAUGAGGAGAGAAUAAGCUAUGAAAACAUGCCCAUUAUCACAAGCCACAGAAACUAAUCAGAAAACCGAAAACCAUGACCAUUAUCAAAGCCCAAAAAAACAGGACAACUAUCCCAAGUCGCAAAAAACCAAUGGCCACAUAGGCCCUGAACAAAAAGAACACGAACCCGAUCCAAAUACCACGAAACCGUCCCAUCUAAACAAACCACCCCAAAACAGAGAUGACAAAGAACCAAAAACUCAAACAAAAGCAGACUGAAAAACAAGGAAAGAAGCAUUGAUAUGAUAAUUAAAAUAGAGAUAAAAAGGUAGAGACUAGAGACAAACUUAUUCUAAAGAUGAAAACAAAAAAUCAACAGAGAAAAAAAAAGCAUAGAUCUGAAAUUAAAAAAAUACAAGAAAAGGCAAAUACACAGUUAACGUAAAUAUUCAUACCUGAAAUGACUCUCCCAUGAAGCAGGGAAUUUCAACAUCACAACAAACAGAACCGGCAGAGAAAAACUUAUGGGCUUCUCCCUCUCACAAAAACUAUCUUCCUACUGUUGAGUGUUUGUGUCUGUGUUUUGCCUGUGGUUACACAAAGCUAUAAAAGAAUGACAGGAAAAAAAUAAAAAGAGACCAAAAGAGAAUCCACGAAGUACGAGAUGGGAGGAAGAGAGAAUAAUGAAAACAAAAAAGAAAGAGGGAAUGUAUGGAAUGAAGCAUGAUUUGAGUAUUUAAAAUUUGGGAAGGAAGUGGGAUGUGAAAAGGCUAAAGAAAACGGGCAGCGGGGC